ACGAACGCUGGCGGCAUGCCUAACCCAUGCCAGUCGAACGAGACCUUCGGGUCUAGUGGCGCACGGGUGCGUAACGCGUGGGAACCUGCCCUUAGGUUCGGAAUAACUCCCCGAAAGGGGUGCUAAUACCGGAUAAUGUCUUCGGACCAAAGAUUUAUCGCCUUUGGAUGGGCCCGCGUUGGAUUAGCUAGUUGGUAGGGUAAAAGCCUACCAAGGCGACGAUCCAUAGCUGGUCUGAGAAGAUGAUCAGCCACACUGGGACUGAGACACGGCCCAGACUCCUACGGGAGGCAGCAGUGGGGAAUAUUGGACAAUGGGCGAAAGCCUGAUCCAGCAAUGCCGCGUGAGUGAUGAAGGCCUUAGGGUUGUAAAGCUCUUUUACCCGGGAUGAUAAUGACAGUACCGGGAGAAUAAGCUCCGGCUAACUCCGUG
This 432-nucleotide ribosomal RNA is filed under the name uncultured bacterium. Its description in RNAcentral is "partial 16S ribosomal RNA". It matches the Rfam family "Bacterial small subunit ribosomal RNA", at positions 29 to 507 of the family's 1533-position model. The record is from RNAcentral.